UGAGGUCACACAAACAAGAAAACUAAUUUGGAUUGACCAAUUGGACUUGUGAAGUCCUAAUUGAAUUAGAAUUUAGUGAAAUCUUAUUGGAUUUAGGAAAGCCUUGGUAGCACAUGGUUAAAUCUAAUUCCUCUUUAGACUUAGAUUCUUUAUUUGAUAAGGAUUAGAUCAAGUUAGUUACAUGCAUUAGACCUAAUCCAAAUUGGAUUUGGAUUUAGAUUCAAGGGGCUC
RNAcentral lists this long non-coding RNA (231 nucleotides) under Elaeis guineensis (African oil palm). RNAcentral's name for it is "long non-coding RNA (EGUI_LNC038647)". Lineage: Eukaryota; Viridiplantae; Streptophyta; Magnoliopsida; Arecales; Arecaceae. The record is from RNAcentral.